RNAcentral lists this transfer RNA (53 nucleotides) under Rhigonema thysanophora. RNAcentral describes it as "tRNA-Ala". Lineage: Eukaryota; Metazoa; Nematoda; Chromadorea; Rhabditida; Rhigonematidae. The record is from RNAcentral.
GGGGCUUAAGUUUAUAAGAAUAUGUGUUUUGCAAAUACAAGGCUCUGGCUCUA